Molecule: long non-coding RNA, 308 nt
Organism: Cotesia glomerata
Lineage: Eukaryota; Metazoa; Arthropoda; Insecta; Hymenoptera; Braconidae
Exons: 2
Source: RefSeq, a predicted model, not a curated record
AUUUUGCCUAAAACAUACCAUUAAUAAUUUAUAAUAAAUUAAAUAAGUUUUUUUUUUUUUUUUUUUUAAAUUAAAUUACAUUAUAUAUUUUAUAAAAUCAAGUAUUCUAAACCGGAUCGGUGUUAACGUCACAAAUGAAGCCAACUUGCGUUAAUUCCCUCGAGUCAAGUAAAAGGUAAGCAAUCAUCUUCAGGAGUAUUGCAAUGACUAUCAAGGAUUUCACGGUGGUGAUGAUGAUGAUGAUGGUGACGAUGAUGAUGGUGGUGGUGGUGAUGAUACGAGUGGCUCUGACUCGGCGACAAGACAGU